Oncorhynchus mykiss (rainbow trout) is the source of this 1745-nucleotide long non-coding RNA. The record is from Ensembl. Lineage: Eukaryota; Metazoa; Chordata; Actinopteri; Salmoniformes; Salmonidae.
AUAAGAAAGCUCAGAAAGAAAUACAUAUUUGUUUAUUUUGUUGGCACAAAACUACUUCCAUAAAUCAGUUUAUUUUUUUAUUUUUACAACUGGCACCGGGUUACCUUCAGAUGAGUCCCGUGACAUUUGUGGGGGUCGUAGAGAGAAACGGAGACCACCAUCUUGUUCGUGAGAGUCUCCCCUUUCCAUAGUGGGGUCACAAAGGAUUCGGAAACUACAGACGAUUUUCGGGAUGUCUCCUGAGCUGACGAACAGCGUUGUAGCUCUGCCACUUUCACCACAAGACGUGGAAGGGAGACGUCGGCGGAUGUGGUGGAUUGAGACGCAGCCCAAAAAUAUGUCUCUAGAUUAAACAGAAGAUUUUGAUAGGGACUUUUCAAAAAAUUAUGUUAAUUAGAUUGCCACACGGGUACGUCUCUAAAGGACUAGUCGGAUUAGCCUCCUACAAUGUGGAAGAAAGACGUAUUGUCAGCUUGUUUGUUUACUCUCCUUGUUUGUUUUACUGUGUUUGUUUAUCUGUAAACGUGUUUGUUUACCUCCCAGCAAGCCAAUGAAAACCAAGCCAGGAGAGAUAGGAGCUGCUUUGAGAGCCUGACCUUAUGGGACCUGAAGAGCCACAACCACAAUCCUUCUCUGUGGGUAGUUAAAGACAGAGAAGAAGAUGUGGAAUACCAGGAGAGAAGCGAGAGUGAGGAAGGAGAUGAAGAGGAAGAGUAUGUAUGUGUGAUAAUAGAAGGGUCAGAGGUUGAGGAAGAUGAGGAGGAAGAGGAAGAGGAGGAGGAAUACGAGGUGACAUGUGUAGGGGAGUAUGAGGAGGAAGAGGAGUGUUUGUUAGAGGUUGUGGUGAAAGAGGAGGAAGAGGAGUGUUUGUUAGAGGUUGUGGUGAAAGAGGAGGGAGUAGAGGAGGACGAAGAAGAAAGAGUGGAGAGGUAUGAGAAGGAGAAGAAAGAGAAGGAAGAGGAAGAAGAGAAGGGAGAAGAAGAAGAAGAAGAGGAGGAGGAGACAGCCAACACAUAUCCCAGGUGUGUCCAUCAUCAGGGCCUGAAACUGAGUGUGAAGGGGCUGAGAGGGAGACAGACAGGAGAGGAGAAGUACGGUCGGCUCAGAGAGAUCCUAGGAGACCAGUAUGUCAGGGAGGUUACCUGUGCCCCUGAAGGAGAUAGAGUGGUCCUCCACCUCUAUCACCCUAGGUGAGAGAGUUAGUUUGGACCUGAGCUGGUCUGGAGUCACUUACUGUAUAAGGAGAGACAUAGACAUCUAUUAUGAUUCAACUCACAGAACUGGCCUAGGAUCAGUUUAUACAACGCUAGUCAUGAUGACUAUUAAAGCUUCAGCUCAUACCGCUAUCUUAAAUAUCUUUAGGGUCAGUUUGAUGCUAAAGUAAACUCUCUCUCUCUCUCUCUGUCUCUCUCUCUCUCAUUCUCUUUCUCUCACCCCUCUCUCCCUCAUUAUCCCCAUUGCUCUCUCUCUUUCUCUCUCUCUCUGUCUCUUUCUCUCACCCUCCUUCUCCCAUUUGCUCUCUCUCUGUCUCUCCUUUUCUCUCUUUCUCUCCCCCUCUCUCUCUGUUUCAAUCUCUCUCUCUCUCCACCUCCCUACCUCCUUCUCCCUGAGACAUAGAAUCUAUCCUAUGAUGUUGAACUGGAGCAGACUGAGACAUAGAAUCUAUCCUAUGAUGUUGAACUGGAGCAGACUGAGACAUAGAAUCUAUCCUAUGAUCCUAUGAUAAUCUAUCCUAUCUCCCCCCC